AUUGAACGCUGGCGGCAUGCUUUACACAUGCAAGUCGGACGGCAGCACAGAGAAGCUUGCUUCGUGGGUGGCGAGUGGCGAACGGGUGAGUAAUAUAUCGGAACGUACCGAGUAAUGGGGGAUAACUAAUCGAAAGAUUAGCUAAUACCGCAUAUUCUCUGAGGAGGAAAGCAGGGGACCUUCGGGCCUUGCGUUAUUCGAGCGGCCGAUAUCUGAUUAGCUAGUUGGUGGGGUAAAGGCCUACCAAGGCGACGAUCAGUAGCGGGUGUGAGAGGGUGAUCCGCCACACUGAGACUGAGACACGGCCCAGACUCCGACGGGAGGGAGCAGUGGGGAAUUUUGGACAAUGGGCGCGAGCCUGAGCCAGCCAUGCCGCGUGUCUGAAGAAGGCCUUCGGGUUGUAAAGGACUUUUGUCAGGGAAGAAGAGGCUGUUGCUAAUACCGACAGCUGAUGACGGUACCUGAAGAAUAAGCACCGGCUAACUACGUG
This 490-nucleotide ribosomal RNA is filed under the name uncultured bacterium. RNAcentral describes it as "partial 16S ribosomal RNA". It matches the Rfam family "Bacterial small subunit ribosomal RNA", at positions 30 to 507 of the family's 1533-position model. The record is from RNAcentral.